UCGAUUACAACUUGUCAUGAUGUUGUUGCAUGCACACAAACGUUUGGAGAUGUAUUAUUGAUAGGCCAGCAGUCUACCCGCAUGAAAAAGCAACGCGCACUAGCUGAUACAUGCAUUACGGAGCACAGAAAGAAAAAGAAAUACAUAUGAAAACUACUGCAGUGCCUUUGCAGAGCGGCUAAGCUUCAGAGUUUGUGCAUGAAGAUCAUGGCCAUGGCUCGCAGGUUCAGGAGCCCCAUGAUAAAAAUGUUCUUCAAAAUGCUUGAUUCUGUUCGAGAAGAGAUACGUGGCGAUGGACCGAUGCAUGCGAAAUCAGAUGUCGGGCACGCUGAAGUAUUAUAUGUACUUGUUUGCCCACUUCCAGAAUCUGCAUCCUCCAUGCUGCAACGAAAGAAAAAGAGAUUAGUCUGGAAUGAAGAACAUGGAUGGAAAGGAACUUCAAAAACGUACUCAAUGUCGUAGCCCGCGUUGCAUUCAGGGAAACGUAUGAGGGAGAGGGGGAAACUGGUUGGUGGUGUGGUGCGAUGCAGGUGGUGUGGAACUGCGCUGGGACUGGGAGCCACGGACAUGGAUGAACACAUGCUUGUCAGCUGAGGCAAAGGAUCAGAGGAAUGCAGAAGGAGAACGGCGAAAAAAUAUGCACAAAUUAUUCAUACUAUUUGCACCAUUUGCAUAACUAUUUUGCCUACCUACUGAUUCCUUCAUUUCCAUAAGCUAGCAAAGUGUUCUGGACAGAUCACACAUAUCCAUGCUAAUCACCAACCUCAC
Molecule: long non-coding RNA, 768 nt
Filed under: Triticum aestivum (bread wheat)
Lineage: Eukaryota; Viridiplantae; Streptophyta; Magnoliopsida; Poales; Poaceae
Description: long non-coding RNA (TAES_LNC025296)
Source: RNAcentral